UGCCAGCCGCCGCGGUAAUACGAAGGGUGCUAGCGUUGUUCGGAAUUACUGGGCGUAAAGAGCAUGUAGGCGGAUGAAUUAGUCAGAGGUGAAAGCCCCGAGCUCAACUUGGGAACUGCAUACGAUACUGGCUGACUAGAAUCUGUCAGAGGUUGGUGGAGUUUCCGGUGUAGCGGUGAAAUGCGUAGAUAUCGGAAGGAACACCGGUGGCGAAGGCGACUUCCUGGGCCAAUACUGACGCUGAGGCGCGAAAGCGUGGGUAGCAAACAGGAUUAGAUA
RNAcentral lists this ribosomal RNA (279 nucleotides) under uncultured bacterium. Its description in RNAcentral is "partial 16S ribosomal RNA". It matches the Rfam family "Bacterial small subunit ribosomal RNA", at positions 506 to 784 of the family's 1533-position model. The record is from RNAcentral.